AUUAAAGAUUGAUUUUAAAUAAUUUAGGGAUAAUGUUCAAGUACCCCGUCAACCUAUGUCUGAAAUCUCAGAGACACACUUAUACUAUACUGAGGUCUUAUUAUCCUCCCCCGAACUUAUUUUAUAAGUAAUUUUCUACCCUUUUCAGCCGACGUGGCACUAGUUUGAAAAAAAAAGUCAACCAGCGUUGGGCCCAAAAUAUAGUGUCAUGUAGGCCAAUAAAGGGUAGAAAUUUAUUAAUAAAAUAAGUUUAGGGGGGUAAUAGGACCUUAGUAUAGUAUAAGUUUAUCUCUGAGAUUUCGGGCAUAGGUUGAGGUGGUACUUGUGCAUUUUCCCAAUAAUUUAAAACAUUUUUCAAAAAAGAAAAAUAACGGAUCAGUUUUUAAAUGGAAAAUAUCAUGUUUCAUUAUUUAAAAUAAUUAAAUUUAAUAAAUAUAAUUACUGAUUAGCGUCUAUUAAGGAACUUUUUUAAAAAUCAGAUUAAUUGGUUACCUUAAAAAGCUCAAUUUAGUUGAAAUCAAAUUAAAUUGUGAUUUAAUUCCUUAAAACGAUCUAAUAAAACGAAAUCACAUUAAAAUCUGUUAUUUUUUUCCAGAUAUCAUGUUUCUCUCUUGUUUGCAGAUUGCAUUUUCAUUUUUUUUAGUGAUUGAAGAUAUUUUGCUGUUGAAAAAAACGUGAUUUAUUGUGAUGGACAACAUUGUAUCUAUAUAAAUUAAACAUGGUGAAAAGUGGAAUCCGUCAGUUAUUACCUGAAUUGUCUUUCUGAUACUUGCUCUUGGAUGAUGAGAGCAUCAUGUUUGAAUAGAUCAAAUUUAUUCAAAGUCAGAAAGUACAAUGCUGAACACACUUGUUCAGUUAAAGAUAGAGUUUAUGCAAGACGUCAAGAAAUAACUGUCAUUGUAGCUGUCUUAAUAAUGGAUAAGUAUAUUGAUUCAUGUACCGUAUACACUCCAAAGAAUAUAGUGGAGGAUAUGUUGAAAUUGCAUGGUGUUUCGCUAACAUACAUACAUGCUUGGAGAGCUAAAGAAAAAGCGAUGAAAUUGAUGCGUGGAGAUCCAACCGAAUCAUAUGCCAAACUACCAGGUUAUGCAUACAUAUUGGAGCAAACAUAUCCUGGAUCGGUUUUGAAAAUAGAAAGGAAGGAAUGUGAUAAAUUCUUAUACACAUUUGUUGCAUUAGAAGCUUGUAUUAGAGGCUGGGAGUAUUGUAGGCCAAUUGUAGUUGUUGAUGGGGCAUGUUUAAAAUAUUCAUAUGGUGGUACAAUGUUGACUGCCAGCACUAUGAAUCCAUGAGGUCAUAUACUUCUGUUGGCGUAUUCAAUAGUGGAUUCUGAAAAUGACGCUUUAUGGACUUGGUUCUUUGAAUAGUUUAAAAAAGCCUAUGGAGUUAAGCAAAACAUGUGUUUUAUGUCAGAUUGAAAUGAGAGCAUAUGAAAAGAGACUGUUACUGUAUAUCCCGAAUUCAAACAUUAUGCCUGCAUAUGGCACCUAACCUGUAAUGUGUUGAAGAAUUUCAAUAGGAAUACUGAAGAUUUGAAGAUUUUAUUUUUUUUACACUUGCAAAGGCUUAUACAAAACAACAAUUUGAGAUGAUUAUGAGAAGAAUAAACCAGAUAGAUCCGCAAAUAAGACAUUACUUAUUUGAUAUCGAUUCUAGCAAAUGGUCAAGAGCUUACUCGAAUUGUAAGCGCGCAUGGACCAUGACUUCAAACAUUGCCGAGUUAUUGAAUAAUUAACAAGAUAGCAAGGAGAUUACUAGUGAUUUCACUUAUUGAAUUUAUGAGGAUAAAAAUUCAAAGAUGGAUUCACAAGCACAAUGAGGAGGCUGAUAAAACAACAUCUGUGCUGACAAAAAAAUAUGAUCUUUAUCUCCAGAAAAGUAUUGUUUUUUCUUGCAAUAUGAAGUGAUACCUUGAACAGUUGAUAUGCAUAUUGUAGCUGAAGGAGCAAAGAAGUACAUAGUAAACUUGAACACAAAGAUGUAUAGUUACGGGAGAUUUCAACAUUAUUAUAUACCAUGUGGUUAUGUAAUUGUAGUUCUUAGAUACAGAAAAUUGCAUGAAGCAUAUUUUUGUUCUGCUUUUUAUAGCCUGAAGAAUUUCAAAGAUGCAUAUGUCAUUGUUGUUGAACCUAUCCCAUGCGAGUGUACAUGAGAUAUACAAAGUUAUAUUUCAGAACCUAAAUUGAUGUCACCUAGUCCAAAUUGAUUAGCGGGAAGACCAAAACUUAAACGCUCGAAGGGGUUUGCUGAUGUAAAAUUCAAAAGGUUAAAAAUUACUUGCAGUAGAUGUCGUCAAGUUGGACACAACAGGAAGACUGUUCAAAUUAUUCUUUGUAAAAAACAAUUUACUAUUUUUACUUAUUGCUACACAUAUUUUUAUGUUGCUUGGAA
Solanum lycopersicum (tomato) is the source of this 2391-nucleotide long non-coding RNA. RefSeq lists it as uncharacterized. Lineage: Eukaryota; Viridiplantae; Streptophyta; Magnoliopsida; Solanales; Solanaceae. The record is from RefSeq and is a predicted model, not a curated record.